RNAcentral lists this unclassified non-coding RNA (334 nucleotides) under uncultured fungus. Its description in RNAcentral is "partial contains 5.8S ribosomal RNA, internal transcribed spacer 2, and large subunit ribosomal RNA". The stretch from base 1 to 52 matches the Rfam family "5.8S ribosomal RNA", at positions 103 to 154 of the family's 154-position model. The record is from RNAcentral. Lineage: Eukaryota; Fungi.
AACGCACAUUGCGCCCCCCGGUAUUCCGGGGGGCAUGCCUGUUCGAGCGUCACAAAAACACCCUCAGGCUUCGGCUUGACGUUGGGCGAUUUGGGCCACCACACUUGUACCCUGGAAUUAAGGUCGUUGGUCAAUCCAGCGGACGCUCCUAGCCCUAUUUCUUCGUGGUCCACGCCUUAAAAACAUUGGCAGCGGCGCGGAGCCCGUAGCGUACCAAAGACCCCCCAUAGUCUGCGCUAAAAGGGCCCCGGUGAUCCGUUUUCGCCCCCACAAAUGACCCCCACUAUACCAAAAUUUUGACCUCGGAUCAGGUAGGGAUACCCGCUGAACUUAA